CCCCGAGUGGCGGAAAUGGUAUACGCUCUGAUUUCAAAAAUCAGUGAUUUUUAAAAUCAUAUGGGUUCAAAUCCCAUCUUGGGGA
Molecule: transfer RNA, 85 nt
Filed under: Candidatus Shikimatogenerans bostrichidophilus
Lineage: Bacteria; Pseudomonadati; Bacteroidota; Flavobacteriia; Flavobacteriales
Description: tRNA-Leu
Rfam family: tRNA
About the family: Transfer RNA (tRNA) molecules are approximately 80 nucleotides in length. Their secondary structure includes four short double-helical elements and three loops (D, anti-codon, and T loops).
Source: RNAcentral